Bos taurus (domestic cattle) is the source of this 2562-nucleotide long non-coding RNA. The record is from Ensembl. NCBI's taxonomy places the organism in Eukaryota, Metazoa, Chordata, Mammalia, Artiodactyla, Bovidae.
GUAAGUGCUCCCAGCUGUGUGCUAUGGUCCUCUUAAGUGGUGUCGUUAACUAUUUUGGAAGCGCUCUUCCGUGAGCCCCUCGAAUGAGGGCAAGGUCUUAGGCACCUGUGCAGCCGAGCUCAGAGACCCCCCCCCCCCAUAUGCCUUUCUGUGCUUUAUCUGGAACGAUCGAUACCCGAGGUCGGUUUUGGAAAGCGGCUUCCCGCGCUGAUCCGGUGCGGUGGGGACCUGAAGAUGCGCGGCAGCCUCCCGGACCACCGCGCGAUCCCUGGAAGGCCGGCGCGCCCAACCAGCCUCUUCCCCGACUUUCCCUCGCUGCUUGAGUUUUCUAGAGCCUCUUUCCCUUCCACUCUCAGUCUUCCCUUCCUUUCUAUGAGCUCUCGCGGGCUCCACAUUCAUUUUCUACUUUGAGUAGCCACGUCUCUUUCAACCCGCGCUCCCUCAACCCUUAAGUCAUCCAUUAAGUUCCUUUUUCACUUUUUUCUUCCAUCCCCCACGCCCUCGAUCUUUGGUUGCCAAUACUGAUCUUUCUUAGCUAGUGAUUGUAUUUCGCGUCUCUGCUCCUUAACCAAAGGCGCCCUAACCUCACGGCUCUCCAUGCCUCGGGUUUUCCCUCUUGGUCUCUCGCCUCCCAUCGUCAGGGCCAGACCUGAGCAGACACUUCACUGCCUGGCGAGCAAGACCGCUCCGCCACCUCCCAGCGGCGGGGCAGGAGCAAGUUAACAUCUUGAAAAGAUGGAAAAAUCUGCAGCGCCCCCUUAGGAGCAGCUUCCGGCAUCGGCCCUUAACCCUGGCCCGGGAAGGGAGCAGAGGUGGGAGGUGUGGGUGGGCAGAGCUGGGGAAACCGGAUCUCGUGUCGGUGUGACCGGCCCUGAAGGUUUUCUCUCCCAGGGUUUUCUUUCCCCUGUUCUUUCCCCCUCCCCCCUCUCUCCAGACAAAAAUACCCAGCAAUGUUUCUUUGGCUGCGCUGUCGACUUUCGCCUCCUAAUCUCGGUUAAAUCAACUCGGGAUCACUGAUGCAGUUUUCUCAUUAGUUCUGUGCACCUGCUGCUGCUGCUGCUGCUUCUAAGUCGAUUCAUUUGUGUCCGACUCUGUGCGACCCCAUAGACAGCAGCCCACCAGGCUCCUGCGUCCCUGGGAUUCUCCAAGCAAGAACACUGGAGUGGGUUGCCAUGUCCUUCUCCAGUGCAUGAAAGUGAAGAGUGAAAGUGAAGUCGCUCAGUUGUGUCCGACUCUUAGCGACUCCAUGGACUGCAGCCUACCAGGCUCCUCCGUCCAUGGGAUUUUCCAGGCAAGAGCACUGGAGUGGGGUGCCAUCGCCUUCUCCAUCUGUGCACCUAGGGCAAAGUAUUUACUUCUGUGAGCCUCAGUGUCCUUAUCUAUAUAGGAGGAAAAUCAAUUUAACCUGAGCUUCCUACCUUAUAGGUUGUUAUGAAAAUCAUAUGUGAUCAUAUAUGUUUAUAUAUGUAUGUAUAUAUGUAUAUUUAAUAUAUGUGUAUAUGUAUAUGAUAACACGUAGGAAUCAUAUAAGAUAACGUAUGUGUCAGUCAGGUUAGGCCAUGUUAUGCUGUGGAAACAAGACAAAAAUCUCAGUGAUCUAAGCAACACAAUUUUAUUUUUUGUUCAAAAUAAAAAACCAUAACAAAUCAGUUAGUGCUUAGCUUGUUAUCUCUUAGGAACCCAGAAUGACACAAUAGCCAUCAUCUCAAACAUUGUUAAUACCCAGAUACAGACGGAAAGAAGGGUCUAGAAGCAAUUAUAUCAUCUGCUUGGGACUGACACAUAUCACUUUAGUUCCUAAUUCAUUGACCUGAGCUAUUCAUAAGGCCCCAUCCAACCACAGCGAAAGCCUACUGUGGAAGAGACCUGGGACUAUACGGAGGACAGCAUUAACUACCACCACUCUUCAUGGGGGGAAGUUGUAAAUGGCAAAGUGCUUUACAGCUGAGAAGUGUAGAAGUAGACUGAGGAUUUCUAAUAAUUAGAGUCAACAUGAAUUCAUUUAAAAUCAGCACCGGUUUGUGAUUUAACCCUCUAAAGUGAACUUACUUGGAGGUCAUUAAUUUAAAUGGUAUGGAUAUAUUUCCUUGGAAUUACAGAAAACAUUGGCCCAGAGCUUCCAGAGAUGAAGCUUGACAUUUUACUUCACCCCAAGCUAGAUCAACGUUUUCCUAAUAUAUAGGUCUUUAGACAUUCACUGAAACGUCUAAUUAAAAAAUAUAUACAGGUGUGAUGUAACAAUAGAAUCUGUUUCUAUGCUCUUUAAGGAGCAAAAAUCGUCAGAAAUAAUUGCUGUAUAUAUCAUUUGUGGAUAAACCAGUCAUUUCCAAGAUUAAAUAGCAGUCAGAUAUAAGGGAGUAAGAAAGAGCCAAUUUUAGCUAAUAUUACAAAGUGGAAUGAAUAUACUAAAGUGCCAAUAACCUCUCUUUUGAGAAUAUUUUUCAUUGUGAAAUUAGGUCUCAGUUCAGGUGGACUCAUUUUGCUUAGGAUUUAAGAGCUGGGAUUGCAAAUUGGUGAGAGAUGACGAUGACCUGGGGCUUCCUUGUUAGCUCAGUGGUAGAG